GACGAACCGUGCGAACGUUAUUCGGAAUCACUGGGCUUAAAGGGCGCGUAGGCGGGCCACCAAGUCAGGGGUGAAAUCCCACGGCUCAACCGUGGAAGUGCCCUUGAUACUGGUGGCCUCGAGGGAGGCAGGGGCGUGCGGAACUUUGGGUGGAGCGGUGAAAUGCGUAGAUAUCCAAAGGAACACCGGUGGCGAAAGCGGCGCGCUGGACCUCUUCUGACGCUGAGGAGCGAAAGCGUGGGGAGCGAACAGG
RNAcentral lists this ribosomal RNA (253 nucleotides) under uncultured bacterium. RNAcentral describes it as "partial 16S ribosomal RNA". It matches the Rfam family "Bacterial small subunit ribosomal RNA", at positions 524 to 776 of the family's 1533-position model. The record is from RNAcentral.